GUGAUGGAACGUGUGAUGGUAAUGGUGUUAAAUGUCCUGCUGUUGGUGGUGGUUUGUGACAACGGUGGAGGUGGCGAGGAUAGUGACAGCUGAAAGCUUCGCCAAAGUUACUCCCGCUGCAAAUGGAUGACCUGGAUUGCUACCAAAUAACAGUGACAAGAUCACUACAUAAACCAAACGAAAGAAGUUGGGCACAUCAUGAGCCUGUAUUCUCCAGGCACUCUGGAAACAUACAAUUCAACGUCAGUUACAAUCAUCACAACUGACAUCAAUGGUUUUGUACAACCUUUUUUCUUGAAGGUAUGCGUUCUGCUUGUUUUAUCUUCACAGUACAAAGAUCCAUUUAAAAUCCAGUUGCACUAUAAGCUCCUAAAACAGCGGGCGUGUUGCUUUGGGACCAGAGAAGAUGGAACGUCUAGAUUCCCAUUCAAAUAGAGAACAUACAGGUAUUUAGACUUUAUUUUUAUUUUUUUCCCUUGUUACAGUCAACAUGCUCUUAGAAAAUUAAAAUGUUAAAGUUGAAUGUCUUGGUGGUUAUGCCUCUGCAUUACAACUCAAUUUCCCUCAAUAUGUAUGAAAAGGAAUCAAAAUAUGGCAUCCUUUGAGCUGACUGUCUUUGUUUAGAAUUACAAAGACCAAAACAGGCUCCAAGAUAUUUGUAGUUUUAUUACAACUAAGUCAUAAUGAAGAACUUUUGGGACACAAAUGACAAAAGAAGCGAAUGGAAGAUUAUCUACGAGAUCCAAUGACAGUACACCAUCAACCAUAUAGAAUAGAAACCAGGAUAAGGAUAGGAACAUCAACUGAACAUCAAAAAGAAGGUACCAAGGUGCAGUUAGAGUUAGAAUAACAAAACACAAACCAGUGUUUUAAACCUGGACUUAGGUCAGGACUCGCUAAGGUCCCGAAUCCAAGUCGGAGUUGGACUGAGUCAUAGAAAAACAAAGAAACCUUGAGAACCAGUAGCACUUGGCAGAUUUCCAAGGUAUUUUACUUGGAUCCAGCACUCUGCCAGGCAGUAUUCUGAGAAUUGGCCGAGGCCACUCAUCCUAGACCUAUGGGCGAGUAGGCUGUACAGCAUGUUUGCAAAGUUUAUUUAUAUUAAUAUGUCAAUUUAAGUCACAUGUGCUUGAAUGGAUCCACGAUUAGUUCUAACACAUAUAUUUUAGCAUGGUUGGGGUUCAAAUCUCACUAGCGAACAUCACUUUUUAAACACCAUCAUUUUCUUUUAUAUGAUGGGAGUUCCAAAAAAAAAUGUAGCCCCCCAAGAAUCAAACUCAAGACCUCUUGCAAAGAGGCAUAUUAUAUCGGGUGGCCUAACCAACAUGCCAUUCGCCGUUUGUUUAAAAAAGCCGGCCACUAUAUUAUAU
Non-coding RNA from Amborella trichopoda, 1370 nucleotides. Lineage: Eukaryota; Viridiplantae; Streptophyta; Magnoliopsida; Amborellales; Amborellaceae. The record is from RefSeq and is a predicted model, not a curated record.